RNAcentral lists this ribosomal RNA (886 nucleotides) under fungal sp. RNAcentral's name for it is "eukaryotic LSU rRNA". The stretch from base 359 to 886 matches the Rfam family "Eukaryotic large subunit ribosomal RNA", at positions 1 to 533 of the family's 3401-position model. The record is from RNAcentral. Lineage: Eukaryota; Fungi.
CAGUAAACGCAGACGUCUGAUAAACAAGUUAAUAAACUAAAACUUUCAACAACGGAUCUCUUGGUUCUGGCAUCGAUGAAGAACGCAGCGAAAUGCGAUAAGUAAUGUGAAUUGCAGAAUUCAGUGAAUCAUCGAAUCUUUGAACGCACAUUGCGCCCCUUGGUAUUCCGGGGGGCAUGCCUGUUCGAGCGUCAUUACAACCCUCAAGCUCUGCUUGGAAUUGGGCACCGUCCUCACUGCGGACGCGCCUCAAAGACCUCGGCGGUGGCUGUUCAGCCCUCAAGCGUAGUAGAAUACACCUCGCUUUGGAGCGGUUGGCGUCGCCCGCCGGACGAACCUUCUGAACUUUUCUCAAGGUUGACCUCGGAUCAGGUAGGGAUACCCGCUGAACUUAAGCAUAUCAAUAAGCGGAGGAAAAGAAACCAACAGGGAUUGCCUUAGUAACGGCGAGUGAAGCGGCAACAGCUCAAAUUUGAAAGCUGGCCCUUUUAGGGUCCGCAUUGUAAUUUGUAGAGGAUGAUUCGGCGAGGGCUCCUGCCUAAGUCCCCUGGAACGGGGCGUCAUAGAGGGUGAGAAUCCCGUAUGCGGUAGGUUGCCUUAGCCAUGUGAAUCUCCUUCGACGAGUCGAGUUGUUUGGGAAUGCAGCUCUAAAUGGGAGGUAAAUUUCUUCUAAAGCUAAAUACCGGCCAGAGACCGAUAGCGCACAAGUAGAGUGAUCGAAAGAUGAAAAGCACUUUGGAAAGAGAGUUAAAAAGUACGUGAAAUUGUUGAAAGGGAAGCGCUUGCAACCAGACUUGUCCGCAGUUGCUCAGCCGGUCUCCUGACCGGCGUACUCUUCUGCGGCCAGGCCGGCAUCAGUUCGGGCGGUCGGAUAAAGGCCUCGGGA